RNAcentral lists this long non-coding RNA (722 nucleotides) under Homo sapiens (human). RNAcentral describes it as "HSALNT0198147". Lineage: Eukaryota; Metazoa; Chordata; Mammalia; Primates; Hominidae. The record is from RNAcentral.
CUUGGCCCUGUCACUGCGCUGUCCCCUGUGCCUGCAGGACUCCCCUGAUGAGCCCGCCAAGGCCAUCUGCAGUUCCCAGGCCCAGAUGUGGGGUCGCUGAAACGAGGGGGUCGUGGGGUGCAGGUGGCCCCACUCAUGGCCUGCUGGGCUCAUGGUAUCCCUGAGCCACGCAUUCCAAGAGGAGCGGCCACAGCAGCCCUGGGCAGCACUGGCGCCAGCAUGCAGGGCGGAACUGUGCAUGGCUUGGAGGGGUGAGGAGAGUGACCUAGGGAAACUGCUAAACACCUCCCAAGGGUUUCUGCUGUCUUGCGCCUGAACUCACCGGUCAGCCCUCCUCAUGUGUGACUGCGGUGUCUGCACAACCAUCCUGGAAAUAACUGAGCAGGCCAAGGUGCCUCAGGUCUAGCUUUUGUGGGCGGUUAAGACUGUGUCCACCAAGAGGAAGAAAAGGAGAACCUGGCUUCCAGGUUUUGGGGCAUGGCCCUGUUACCCAAUGCUGUUUGCUCCAGAGAAGCAUGGAAACAAGAGGUCUGCAUCUGUGCCAACGGUCAUUAAUUCCUGCAGUGAAGCCCAAGCCGCAUGCUAGGGGCUCGUCUCCCGUCUUCAUGCUUCAUGCUGCACUUGCUUCUCUUCAGCCAUUUACCUGAGAGAUGCUUCCUGGUCAUGUCUCCACAGAGCAGAGGGAGCCCUGCAUCUGCCAUAAUGAAACAGAUGACGCACGA